Molecule: ribosomal RNA, 473 nt
Filed under: uncultured bacterium
Lineage: Bacteria
Description: bacterial SSU rRNA
Rfam family: Bacterial small subunit ribosomal RNA
Source: RNAcentral
CUCUGUGACUCCUACGGGAGGCAGCAGUGGGGAAUAUUGCACAAUGGGGGAAACCCUGAUGCAGCCAUGCCGCGUGUGUGAAGAAGGCCUUCGGGUUGUAAAGCUACUUUCAGUAGGGAGGAAGGUAGUGUAGUUAAUACCUGCAUUAUUUGACGUUACCUACAGAAGAAGCACCGGCUAACUCCGUGCCAGCAGCCGCGGUAAUACGGAGGGUGCGAGCGUUAAUCGGAAUUACUGGGCGUAAAGCGCAUGCAGGCGGCCUGUUAAGUCAGAUGUGAAAGCCCGGGGCUUAACCUCGGAAUUGCAUUUGAAACUGGCAGGCUAGAGUCUUGUAGAGGGGGUAGAAUUUCAGGUGUAGCGGUGAAAUGCGUAGAGAUCUGAAGGAAUACCAGUGGCGAAGGCGGCCCCCUGGACAAAGACUGACGCUCAGAUGCGAAAGCGUGGGGAGCAAACAGGAUUAGAUACCCUGGUAG